Molecule: long non-coding RNA, 650 nt
Filed under: Homo sapiens (human)
Lineage: Eukaryota; Metazoa; Chordata; Mammalia; Primates; Hominidae
Description: non-protein coding lnc-TSN-10:2
Source: RNAcentral
AAUAAAAAGCAACAACAAAAAAUCUGGGGAGGGGAAAGAAUAUGAUUUCCUGAGUUGCCAAAAACCUCGUCUCUACUAAAAUUACAAAAAUUAGCCGGGUGUGGUGGUGGGUUUGCAAGAGGCAGUGAAGGCAGCCAGUUCAGGCUGAAACAGGCUUCACAGACUUACACAACUGGCAGAGAGGUUAGCAAGUAGAAAGUAUGAGUAUGCAGUAAGUAUACAGACAACUAUACAAAUGAAACUAAAACAGUUAUUAACUCCAGGAAAAACAAAAAGUUGUAAGAAAAAGGUAAUCAUAGUUUACCAAAUAUUAAUAGUGAACUGUAAAUAGCAUUCAUAAUCAUAAUAUGAACUAUAUGUUGUCCUUACCAAAAUUAAAAUAUGACUUUAUUUGAUAGAUGAGGAGAUUGGAAGUAUAUAUGAGAGAGGUUAAGAGAAAAGAGAGCAGUCAGGGGCAGUGGCUCAUGCCUGUAAUCCCAGCACUUUGGGAGGCCGAGGCGGGUGGAUCACCUGAGGUCGGGGGUUCGAGAUCAGCCUAACCAACAUGGAGAAACCCCGUCUCUACUAAAAAUACAAAAUUAGCCAGGCACGGUGGUGCAUGCCAGCAAUCCCAGCUACUCGGGAGGCUGAGGCAGGAGAAUCAGUUGAAC